GCACCACAAGAACGCGUGGAGCAUGUGGCUUAAUUUGACUCAACGCGGGAAAUCUUACCGGGUCCGGACACACUGAGGAUUGACAGGCAAUAUCUCAUGGUUAUUAACCGGUAUUUAUUUAAUCGGUUAUUAAGCAUCAGUGUUAAAUAUGCUAGUCCUUUCAUGAUUAUGUGAUAGGUGGUGCAUGGCCGUUCUUAGUUCGUGGAGUGAUCUGUCUGCUUAAUUGCGUUUCACUAAGGGCCCAUAAAUUCAAGGUAUGUUAGCUAUCGUCGCUCUAUGGACCCCUUAUACUCGAUUUCGCUUUAAUUAGCGUUAUUUGUUUAAUAAGCGCGCG
Molecule: ribosomal RNA, 334 nt
Filed under: Neogloboquadrina pachyderma
Lineage: Eukaryota; Foraminifera; Rotaliida; Globorotaliidae
Description: partial 18S ribosomal RNA
Rfam family: Eukaryotic small subunit ribosomal RNA
Source: RNAcentral